Molecule: ribosomal RNA, 394 nt
Filed under: uncultured bacterium
Lineage: Bacteria
Description: bacterial SSU rRNA
Rfam family: Bacterial small subunit ribosomal RNA
Source: RNAcentral
UAUUGCACAAUGGGCGAAAGCCUGAUGCAGCAACGCCGCGCGAGCGAUGAAGGCCUUCGGGUCGUAAAGCUCUGUCCUCAAGGAAGAUANUGACGGUACUUGAGGAGGUAGCCACGGCUCACUACGUGCCAGCAGCCGCCGGAAUACGUAGGGGGCUAGCGUUAUCCGGAAUUACUGGGCGUAAAGGGUGCGUAGGUGGUUUCUUAAGUCAGAGGUGAAAGGCUACGGCUCAACCGUAGUAAGCCUUUGAAACUGGGGAACUUGAGUGCAGGAGAGGAGAGUGGAAUUCCUAGUGUAGCGGUGAAAUGCGUAGAUAUUAGGAGGAACACCAGUUGCGAAGGCGGCUCUCUGGACUGUAACUGACACUGAGGCACGAAAGCGUGGGGAGCAAACA